RNAcentral lists this unclassified non-coding RNA (22 nucleotides) under Mus musculus (house mouse). RNAcentral describes it as "oocyte_clustered_small_RNA13469". The record is from RNAcentral. Lineage: Eukaryota; Metazoa; Chordata; Mammalia; Rodentia; Muridae.
UGACAGGAUUUGGGCUUCUCCA